RNAcentral lists this ribosomal RNA (366 nucleotides) under uncultured organism. RNAcentral describes it as "bacterial SSU rRNA". It matches the Rfam family "Bacterial small subunit ribosomal RNA", at positions 526 to 896 of the family's 1533-position model. The record is from RNAcentral.
CGGAGGAUCCAAGCGUUAUCCGGAAUCAUUGGGUUUAAAGGGUCCGUAGGCGGUUUAGUAAGUCAGUGGUGAAAGCCCAUCGCUCAACGGUGGAACGGCCAUUGAUACUGCUGAACUUGAAUUAUUAGGAAGUAACUAGAAUAUGUAGUGUAGCGGUGAAAUGCUUAGAGAUUACAUGGAAUACCAAUUGCGAAGGCAGGUUACUACUAAUGGAUUGACGCUGAUGGACGAAAGCGUGGGUAGCGAACAGGAUUAGAUACCCUGGUAGUCCACGCCGUAAACGAUGGAUACUAGCUGUUGGGGGCAACUUCAGUGGCUAAGCGAAAGUGAUAAGUAUCCCACCUGGGGAGUACGUUCGCAAGAAUG